RNAcentral lists this ribosomal RNA (675 nucleotides) under uncultured metazoan. RNAcentral's name for it is "partial 18S ribosomal RNA". Lineage: Eukaryota; Metazoa. The record is from RNAcentral.
GAGCUCUCAAUCUGUCAAUCCUUCCAGUGUCCGGGCCUGGUGAGAUUUCCCGUGUUGAGUCAAAUUAAGCCGCAGGCUCCACUCCUGGUGGUGCCCUUCCGUCAAUUCCUUUAAGUUUCAGCUUUGCAACCAUACUUCCCCCGGAACCCAAACGCUUUGGUUUCCCGAAAGCUUCCCGCAGAGCCUACAAAUGCAACUCAGCGGAUCGCUAGCUGGCAUCGUUUAUGGUUAGAACUAGGGCGGUAUCUGAUCGCCUUCGAACCUCUAACUUUCGUUCUUGAUUAAUGAAAACACUCUUGGCAAAUGCUUUCGCAGUAGUUAGUCUUCGAACGGUCCAAGAAUUUCACCUCUGUCGUUUGAAUACUAAUGCCCCCAAUUGUCCCUAUUAAUCAUUAACUCGAUUCCCGAAAACCAACAAAAUAGGAACGAGUUCCUAUUCCAUUAUUCCAUGCACGAAUAUUCAAGCCUGAAAAGCCUGCUUUGAGCACUCUAAUUUUUUCAAAGUAAACCUGACGGCGCACCGGGACGCUCAACGAAGAGCACCCCGGAACCUCCGCCAAUCACACAGCCAAAUGGGGCAGUCACGCUUUGGAGCGAACCGCCCCCUGGCUGCCGAGAUCCAACUACGAGCUUUUUAACCGCAACAACUUUAAUAUACGCUAUUGGAGCUGGAAU